CAAACAGCAGGGAUAUGCACAGGGAGGAUACCUCUGAAGUUAAUGAUCUUAUUGAGAUUGUGAUGAAUAAAUAACAUUGAAGCUAAAAUUCCAAAUCAAAGCAUCCUCAUCCUCAGUAAAAGUAAUAGUUGAGCCCAUUUGAACUACUUCUAACCACAUAUUCUUCAAUCUAUCAUCAACACAUCUUCUAAAGGUGCAUUUCAGAUUAUAACCAUCCCACAGAUCAUAAACUGUUUUAGACUUUUCCUGUACAAUGACAUAAAUCUCCCAAAACUGAAUGGCAAGGCUAGAAGUACCAAGCCAAUGAUCACUCUGUGAUGUUGCCUGAAGAUGACUGCCCUGUACUCCUAUGUACUAGCUAGAGAUCAUACCAAUAUAUUUUUUUUGAUAAGCAGCAUACCAAUAAUCUGUACGACAUAUCCAUUACUAGCAGAUCUGUGUUUCAUUGUAGGAGUAGAGUAGUAGACGACUAGAGAGGAGUCGAGGAACGAUCAACUAGACUAGCAGAGGACUAAGCAGACUGGUGUAGGGCUACAGGCAAGC
This 543-nucleotide long non-coding RNA is filed under the name Sorghum bicolor (sorghum). RNAcentral's name for it is "long non-coding RNA (SBIC_LNC016531)". Lineage: Eukaryota; Viridiplantae; Streptophyta; Magnoliopsida; Poales; Poaceae. The record is from RNAcentral.